CCUACGUGCGGCAGCAGUGGGGAAUAUUGGACAAUGGGCGAAAGCCUGAUCCAGCCAUGCCGCGUGUGUGAAGAAGGCCUUCGGGUUGUAAAGCACUUUCAGUGGGGAAGAAAGCCUUGGGGCUAAUACCCUCGAGGAAGGACAUCACCCACAGAAGAAGCACCGGCUAACUCCGUGCCAGCAGCCGCAGGUAAUACGGAGGGUGCGAGCGUUAAUCGGAAUUACUGGGCGUAAAGCGCGCGUAGGCGGUCUGAUAAGCCGGUUGUGAAAGCCCCGGGCUCAACCUGGGAACGGCAUCCGGAACUGUCAGGCUAGAGUGCAGGAGAGGAAGGUAGAAUUCCCGGUGUAGCGGUGAAAUGCGUAGAGAUCGGGAGGAAUACCAGUGGCGAAGGCGGCCUUCUGGACUGACACUGACGCUGAGGUGCGAAAGCGUGGGUAGCAAACAGGAUUAGAUACCCGAGUAGUC
Molecule: ribosomal RNA, 466 nt
Filed under: Vreelandella stevensii
Lineage: Bacteria; Pseudomonadati; Pseudomonadota; Gammaproteobacteria; Oceanospirillales; Halomonadaceae
Description: partial 16S ribosomal RNA
Rfam family: Bacterial small subunit ribosomal RNA
Source: RNAcentral